Molecule: ribosomal RNA, 437 nt
Filed under: uncultured bacterium
Lineage: Bacteria
Description: partial 16S ribosomal RNA
Rfam family: Bacterial small subunit ribosomal RNA
Source: RNAcentral
AGCGAACGCUGGCGGCAGGCUUAACACAUGCAAGUCGAGCGGGCAUCCUUGUGGUGUCAGCGGCAGACGGGUGAGUAAAGCGUGGGAACGUGCCCUUCGGUUCGGAAUAACUCAGGGAAACUUGAGCUAAUACCGGAUACGUGCGAGAGCAGAAAGGUUUAUCUGCCGAAGGAUCGGCCCGCGUCUGAUUAGCUAGUUGGUGAGGUUACGGCUCACCAAGGCGACGAUCAGUAGCUGGUCUGAGAGGAUGAUCAGCCACACUGGGACUGAGACACGGCCCAGACUCCUACGGGAGGCAGCAGUGGGGAAUAUAGGACAAUGGGGGCAACCCUGAUCCAGCCAUGCCGCGUGAGUGAUGACGGCCUUAGGGUUGUAAAGCUCUUUUCUCCGGGACGAUAAUGACGGUACCGGAGGAAUAAGCCCCGGCUAACUUCGUG